GACGGAGGAUGCAAGUGUUAUCCGGAAUCACUGGGCGGAAAGCGUCUGUAGGUGGUUUAAUAAGUCAACUGUUAAAUCUUGAGGCUCAACCUCAAAAUCGCAGUCGAAACUAUUAGGCUAGAGUAUAGUAGGGGUAAAGGGAAUUUCCAGUGGAGCGGUGAAAUGCGUAGAGAUUGGAAAGAACACCGAUGGCGAAGGCACUUUACUGGGCUAUUACUAACACUCAGAGACGAAAGCUAGGGUAGCAAAUGGG
Molecule: ribosomal RNA, 253 nt
Filed under: uncultured bacterium
Lineage: Bacteria
Description: partial 16S ribosomal RNA
Rfam family: Bacterial small subunit ribosomal RNA
Source: RNAcentral